CUGAAUUUAAGCAUAUAAGUAAGCGGAGGAAGAGAAACUAAAUAGGAUUCCCUCAGUAAUGGCGAACGAACAGGGAAGAGCUCAGAUUGGAUAUCGGGGCCUGUGGCUCCGAAUUGUAGUCUCGAAAUGCAAUGCCAUCGGGGGCGCAGAUUUAAGCCUCUUGGAAGAGAGCGCCGGCGAGGGUGAGAGUCCCGUUCGUCAAUUUGCAGUCCUCCGUACACGGCUUGCACUUGUUGAGUCACGUUCCUCGGGAUUGGAGCGCAAAUAGGGUGGUAAAUUUCAUCUAAAGCUAAAUAUAUGUUUGAGACCGAUAGCACACAAGUACCAUGAGGGAAAGAUGAAAAGGACUUUGAGAAGAGAGUUAAAAGUGCCUGAAAUUGCUGCAAGGGAAGCGGAUGGAACCAGUCCACGCGGUGAGAUUGUUGGGCGGAGGCGUGCGGGGUUGCACUUUCAACGAAAGUGGGGGUGUGAGUCUCAAUCGCCUUUCGCCUGAUGGUUCUUGCCGUGGGGGUCAUUGGUGAUUGGCAGCCGGGGAAACCUUCAAAGGCAUGGUAGCCCGUCUCCGGAUGGGUGAACGCGUUUGAUAGCACUCGGCCGCUGAUCAUAUCCGAGGUGUCCGGUAACUGGCGGCCUUGAGCGCAACGCGAGAACCAAUCGGUUCUUGCUGCGCGUUCGGCCGUAGGUCCUGACACACAUCUACGACCAAAUGGUUCUUUCCGACCCGUCUUGAAACACGGACCAAGGAGUCUAGCAUAUGUGCGAGUGCUUGGGCUGCAAACCCGUGCGCGCAACGAAAGUGACUGCUGGGAUGUUUGCACCAGCAACCGACUGAUCAAUUGCGAGACGUUUGAGUGUGAGCAUAUCUGCUAGGACCCGAAAGAUGGUGAACUAUGCCUGUGAAGAGCGAACCCAGGGGAAACUCUGGUGGAGGCUCGUAGCGAUACUGACGUGCAAAUCGUUCGUCAUACAUGGGUAUAGGGGCGAAAGACUAAUCGAACCAUCUAGUAGCUGGUUCCCUCCGAAGUUUCCCUCAGGAUAGCUGGAGUUGAUCAGUUUUAUCAGGUAAAGCGAAUGAUUAGAGGAAUUGGGGGCGCGUUGUCUUCGACCUAUUCUCAAACUUUAAAUGGGUAAGAUCGAUUAGUUACUUAAUUGAACUUUUCGGACAAAUGUCAACUCCAAGUGGGCCGUUUUUGGUAAGCAGGACUGGCGAUGAGGGAUGAACCUAACGUUCGGAUAAAGUGCUUAACUGCUCGCUCAUCAGAUACCAUAAAGGGUGUUGGUUCAUUUAACAGCAGGACGGGGU
RNAcentral lists this ribosomal RNA (1303 nucleotides) under Margalefidinium polykrikoides. RNAcentral's name for it is "LSU rRNA". It matches the Rfam family "Eukaryotic large subunit ribosomal RNA", at positions 28 to 1251 of the family's 3401-position model. Lineage: Eukaryota; Dinophyceae; Gymnodiniales; Gymnodiniaceae. The record is from RNAcentral.